This 253-nucleotide ribosomal RNA is filed under the name uncultured bacterium. Its description in RNAcentral is "partial 16S ribosomal RNA". It matches the Rfam family "Bacterial small subunit ribosomal RNA", at positions 524 to 776 of the family's 1533-position model. The record is from RNAcentral.
GACGAACCGUCCAAGCGUUAUUCGGAAUUACUGGGCUUAAAGGGUGCGUAGGCGGCGCGGAAAGUUGGGUGUGAAAUCCCUCGGCUCAACCGAGGAACUGCGCCCAAUACUACCGUGCUUGAGGGAGAUAGAGGUGAGCGGAACUUAGGGUGGAGCGGUGAAAUGCGUUGAUAUCCUAAGGAACACCGGUGGCGAAAGCGGCUCACUGGAUCUCUUCUGACGCUGAGGCACGAAAGCUAGGGUAGCGAACGGG